RNAcentral lists this long non-coding RNA (240 nucleotides) under Gossypium raimondii (Peruvian cotton). RNAcentral's name for it is "long non-coding RNA (GRAI_LNC005078)". Lineage: Eukaryota; Viridiplantae; Streptophyta; Magnoliopsida; Malvales; Malvaceae. The record is from RNAcentral.
AAAAGGGGGAAAAAAGGGGAAAGAGAGCAGAGAGGGGGGCGAUUUGUUUUGAUUUCAUCUUUAUUUUUUCAUUUUCAUUUUUUUUUUGUAAAUAGAUGAUAUAAAAGGACCAAUAUAUGUUGUAAUACCCACGCAACCAGAAUACAAUAAACACACCAAAAAGGUGAUUCCUUUUUUCUUUCUGCCUUCGAGGUUUUUUUUUUCAUCUUCUACAUCCAUGGAUAUUUUUUUAAGGCAACA